This 254-nucleotide ribosomal RNA is filed under the name uncultured bacterium. Its description in RNAcentral is "partial 16S ribosomal RNA". It matches the Rfam family "Bacterial small subunit ribosomal RNA", at positions 524 to 776 of the family's 1533-position model. The record is from RNAcentral.
UACGUAGGGUGCGAGCGUUAAUCGGAAUUACUGGGCGUAAAGCGUGCGCAGGCGGUUUUGCAAGCCGGAUGUGAAAUCCCCGGGCUCAACCUGGGAAUGGCAUUUGGGACUGCAAGGCUCGAGUGCGGCAGAGGGGACUGGAAUUCCUGGUGUAGCAGUGAAAUGCGUAGAUAUCGAGGAGGAAUACCGAUGGCGAAGGCAGGUCUCUGGGCUGACACUGACGCUCAUGCACGAAAGCGUGGGGAGCAAACAGG